CUACUGUCGCUUGGGGCGAGCGUUUCUGUUGGCCUUGCAGCUGUUGUGAAGGACUGAUUAUCGAGCACGUGUAGUUGUUUUGCUUCAUCCGGAGGUAGCGAGAGACUGAGGUUUAGGCGAAUGAAUUCAGUGUGAUAGCAAACUGCUCUGUUCUGGUACCCCGCAAAAAAAAAAAACUGCUCUGUUCUGGUGAUAAUGUCUUGGGUAGUGAUUGAUCGUUGUUCCACUCCAAAUGAGAGAUGGAUAAUGUUUUGGCUAAACAAUAGUAUGGAUUUUGUUUCAUUGAGACAUUAGAGAAGAGACCAAAAGCUUGUUGCAUUUCUGUUCAUAAUAUAUCAUUUGGGUACAGCGAUCGAGAGAAAAGAUAUAUUGACGAGUGAUUUACUGGUACAUCGAUGAGGUGCACGAAGUCGAAUGUAAAAGAAGUGGCAGGAUUAAAACAAGUAGCACAGGGUUGCCAUCUCCGGCGUGAGUUGCUACAAGUUUGUAUAGCCAUGAUAGGACACACAGCUUUCUUAUAUACCAAUUCUUUAUUUUCUGUUGUCCUCUCCGUGCCUUGUUGCAUUUUCUUUCUUUUCUAAUAAAAAUCGAGCC
This 594-nucleotide long non-coding RNA is filed under the name Brachypodium distachyon (stiff brome). RNAcentral's name for it is "long non-coding RNA (BDIS_LNC004360)". Lineage: Eukaryota; Viridiplantae; Streptophyta; Magnoliopsida; Poales; Poaceae. The record is from RNAcentral.